CAGUCGAGCGGAUGAAGGGAGCUUGCUCCUGGAUUCAGCGGCGGACGGGUGAGUAAUGCCUAGGAAUCUGCCUGGUAGUGGGGGAUAACGUCCGGAAACGGGCGCUAAUACCGCAUACGUCCUGAGGGAGAAAGUGGGGGAUCUUCGGACCUCACGCUAUCAGAUGAGCCUAGGUCGGAUUAGCUAGUUGGUGGGGUAAAGGCCUACCAAGGCGACGAUCCGUAACUGGUCUGAGAGGAUGAUCAGUCACACUGGAACUGAGACACGGUCCAGACUCCUACGGGAGGCAGCAGUGGGGAAUAUUGGACAAUGGGCGAAAGCCUGAUCCAGCCAUGCCGCGUGUGUGAAGAAGGUCUUCGGAUUGUAAAGCACUUUAAGUUGGGAGGAAGGGCAGUAAGUUAAUACCUUGCUGUUUUGACGUUACCAACAGAAUAAGCACCGGCUAACUUCGUGCCAGCAGCCGCGGUAAUACGAAGGGUGCAAGCGUUAAUCGGAAUUACUGGGCGUAAAGCGCGCGUAGGUGGUUCAGCAAGUUGGAUGUGAAAUCCCCGGGCUCAACCUGGGAACUGCAUCCAAAACUACUGAGCUAGAGUACGGUAGAGGGUGGUGGAAUUUCCUGUGUAGCGGUGAAAUGCGUAGAUAUAGGAAGGAACACCAGUGGCGAAGGCGACCACCUGGACUGAUACUGACACUGAGGUGCGAAAAGCGUGGGGAGCAAACAGGAUUAGAUACCC
This 734-nucleotide ribosomal RNA is filed under the name Pseudomonas sp. CHFP11. Its description in RNAcentral is "bacterial SSU rRNA". It matches the Rfam family "Bacterial small subunit ribosomal RNA", at positions 59 to 787 of the family's 1533-position model. The record is from RNAcentral. Lineage: Bacteria; Pseudomonadati; Pseudomonadota; Gammaproteobacteria; Pseudomonadales; Pseudomonadaceae.